GGAUCUCACCCAGUGAGCCAUCCGCAGGUUUCCUCCCCCUCUCUAGAACCAGAUCACCAUGGCAACUGGAGGGAAGUUGAUGAGAGCGACUGGAGUUUUUUAAUUUGGUGGACCAGAAGUGCUGAAACUCCGGUCGUAUGUUGCAAUACCAAUUCCAAAAGACCAUCAGGUUCUAAUCAAAGUCCACGCAUGUGGUGUAAACCCCAUGGAAACAUAUAUUCGGUCUGGUACUUACAGAAAAAAACCACUCUUACCCUACUCACCGGGUUCAGAUGUGGCUGGGAUAAUAUUGAUGAUAAUGUAUCUACUUUCAAGAAAGGUGAUAGAGAUUUCACUACCGCCACCAUCUCUGGGAGCAAUGCUGAAUGUUGAAAAUCCCAGGAGUGUGGAGUUGGCAAAUGCCUGGGACCCCAGAAGCUUGGAGUUUCCCAUGAGCAAGGUAUCCCAUCUGAAGAAACAAGGUGCACUCACUCCAACAUCCAGCACAUGUAGCCCAUCCAGAACGGUGUCUUCCAGAUCUGAUCUCUGUCAAAGUCACGAGAAUGUGGUUGUGGGAGAUGGUUGCAUGGCUUCUGGUGUUGUCACCACUAUAAACAAGGUCUGGCCCUUGCCUUUAGGCCAUGCAAAGGGCUGUGGUAUGUCACCUACAGACAGCAUGUAAGGAAACCACAGAGGUAAGCCAGUGGAGUAGGAAGUCUGUAAGUUUUGUGACAGCCACAACCCCAGAACAACUCAUAAAUCCAUCUUUGUCCAAUGCAUUGAUUUACUUACUUAAUUCUUUUUUUUUUAGAUUUUAUUUAUUCAUGAGAGACACAGAGAGAGAGAGAGAGGGGCAGAGACACAGGCAGAGGGAGAAGCAGACUCCAUGCAGGGACCCUGAUGCGGGACUCAAUCCUGGAACUCCAGGAUUACGCCCUGGGCCAAAGGCAGGCACUAAACCACCGAGCCACCCAGGGAUCCCUACUUACUUAAUUCUUAACAAGAAUUAAAGGGUGAGAGUAUGUAUCCAUAGGCUCUGCUUAAGGUGUUGUAUUAAACCAGUAAGUAAGACUAGUAACAGCUAGUUUAAACUUAGAACUACUGCAAUGAUUUAUAUUUAUUUUUUUAAUCUACACCACAAAACCCUAGGGGACAAGUAUUAUUGUCAUCUGCAUUUUAUAGUUGAGGAAAACAAGGCUCAAAGAUAUUAAGUAACUGGCCCAACGUAGCCUGUAGACAUGAAAAUGCACACACAUAAAAUUUUAACAUGGAAGGCAACUGUACAUAUUUAAAGAUAUACUCUUCCAUCCACAUUAUAUAAUUCAUCAUAAAAAGACACUAAAAUAGCAACAAGCAUCUACUUU
RNAcentral lists this long non-coding RNA (1343 nucleotides) under Vulpes vulpes (red fox). RNAcentral describes it as "lncRNA (ENSVVUG00000029391.1)". Lineage: Eukaryota; Metazoa; Chordata; Mammalia; Carnivora; Canidae. The record is from RNAcentral.